Molecule: ribosomal RNA, 368 nt
Filed under: uncultured bacterium
Lineage: Bacteria
Description: bacterial SSU rRNA
Rfam family: Bacterial small subunit ribosomal RNA
Source: RNAcentral
GACGAACGCUGGCGGCGUGCUUAACACAUGCAAGUCGAGCGGUAAGGCCCUUUCGGGGGUACGACGAGCGGCGAACGGGUGAGUAACACGUGGGUGACCUGCCCUCAGCUCUGGGAUAAGCCUGGGAAACCGGGUCUAAUACUGGAUAUGACUCCAUGACGCAUGUUGGUGGGGUGGAAAGCCUUGUGCGGCUGAGGAUGGGCCCGCGGCCUAUCAGCUUGUUGGUGGGGUGAGGCCUACCAAGGCGACGACGGGUAGCCGGCCUGAGAGGGCGACCGGCCACACUGGGACUGAGACACGGCCCAGACUCCUACGGGAGGCAGCAGUGGGGAAUCUUGCGCAAUGGGCGAAAGCCUGACGCAGCGACG